ACAGAGGGGGCAAGCGUUGUUCGGAAUUACUGGGCGUAAAGGGCGCGUAGGCGGCCUUCUAAGUCGAACGUGAAAUCCCCGGGCUCAACCCGGGAACUGCGUCCGAUACUGGAUGGCUUGAAUUCGGGAGAGGGAUGCAGAAUUCCAGGUGUAGCGGUGAAAUGCGUAGAUAUCUGGAGGAAUACCGGUGGCGAAGGCGGCAUCCUGGACCGACAUUGACGCUGAACGGCGAAAGCUAGGGGAGCAAACGGGA
RNAcentral lists this ribosomal RNA (253 nucleotides) under uncultured prokaryote. RNAcentral describes it as "partial 16S ribosomal RNA". It matches the Rfam family "Bacterial small subunit ribosomal RNA", at positions 525 to 777 of the family's 1533-position model. The record is from RNAcentral.